UUUUUUUUUGCUUUUUU
RNAcentral lists this small RNA (17 nucleotides) under Arabidopsis thaliana (thale cress). Its description in RNAcentral is "ATSL003810". The record is from RNAcentral. Lineage: Eukaryota; Viridiplantae; Streptophyta; Magnoliopsida; Brassicales; Brassicaceae.